This 251-nucleotide ribosomal RNA is filed under the name uncultured bacterium. RNAcentral's name for it is "partial 16S ribosomal RNA". It matches the Rfam family "Bacterial small subunit ribosomal RNA", at positions 524 to 776 of the family's 1533-position model. The record is from RNAcentral.
UACGGGGGAGCAAGCGUUGUUCGGAUUACUGGGCGUAAAGGGCGCGUAGGCGGGCGGCCAAGUCAGGGGUGAAAGCCCCAGCUCAACUGGGAAGUGCCUCUGAUACUGGCCGUCUCGAGCGAGGUAGGGCGUGGCGGAACUUCCGGUGGAGCGGGUGGAAAUGCGUAGAUAUCGGAAGGACACCUAUGGCGAAGGCAGCUCGCUGGGACGGUAACUGACGCUGAGGCGCGAAAGCGUGGGGAGCGAACAGG